UGGUGUCGAUGGCGGUGGGGGUACACCCGUUCCCAUCCCGAACACGGCAGUUAAGCCCACAUAGCGUCGAAAAUACUUGGCUGGAAGCGGCCUGGGAAAAUAGACAGAUGC
Molecule: ribosomal RNA, 111 nt
Filed under: human gut metagenome
Source: RNAcentral